GACGAACGCUGGCGGCGCGCUUAACACAUGCAAGUCGAACGGAAAGGCCCUGCUUUUGUGGGGUGCUCGAGUGGCGAACGGGUGAGUAACACGUGAGUAACCUGCCCUUGACUUUGGGAUAACUUCAGGAAACUGGGGCUAAUACCGGAUAGGAGCUCCUGCUGCGUGGUGGGGGUUGGAAAGUUUCGGCGGUUGGGGAUGGACUCGCGGCUUAUCAGCUUGUUGGUGGGGUAGUGGCUUACCAAGGCUUUGACGGGUAGCCGGCCUGAGAGGGUGACCGGCCACAUUGGGACUGAGAUACGGCCCAGACUCCUACGGGAGGCAGCAGUGGGGAAUAUUGCACAAUGGGCGGAAGCCUGAUGCAGCAACGCCGCGUGCGGGAUGACGGCCUUCGGGUUGUAAACCGCUUUCGCCUGUGACGAAGCGUGAGUGACGGUAAUGGGUAAAGAAGCACCGGCUAACUACGUG
This 468-nucleotide ribosomal RNA is filed under the name uncultured bacterium. Its description in RNAcentral is "partial 16S ribosomal RNA". It matches the Rfam family "Bacterial small subunit ribosomal RNA", at positions 28 to 507 of the family's 1533-position model. The record is from RNAcentral.